UACGUAGGGGGCAAGCGUUGUUCGGAUUUACUGGGCGUAAAGGGCGCGUAGGCGGCCACUGCAAGUCAGUUGUGAAAUCUCCGGGCUUAACCCGGAAAGGUCAACUGAUACUGCAGGGCUAGAGUGCAGAAGGGGCAACUGGAAUUCUCGGUGUAGCGGUGAAAUGCGUAGAUAUCGAGAGGAACACCUGCGGCGAAGGCGGGUUGCUGGGCUGACACUGACGCUGAGGCGCGAAAGCCAGGGGAGCGAACGGG
RNAcentral lists this ribosomal RNA (254 nucleotides) under uncultured bacterium. RNAcentral describes it as "partial 16S ribosomal RNA". It matches the Rfam family "Bacterial small subunit ribosomal RNA", at positions 524 to 776 of the family's 1533-position model. The record is from RNAcentral.